AAUAGAUUCUAAAGGGUGCAUUAUCGGUCUCAUUGUGUCCAUGGAAGGGUAUUGGUAAAAUACCUCUUCAUAACGCUUCUUGUUAUUUUGCAUAUUUCUACAUUUCUUUAACAGUUAGAACGUGAAAUUGGGCCCAACGACACCAACAGCUGUUUAAAAGUCUGUAAGUAGACACACAUAUACACACAUACACUCCGGGUCAGGAGAAUAGCGUCUACACAGUGAGACAUGCAUGCUUAACCAUCUAUAAAAUGAAUUAUUAUUAACUCUAAUCACUACAAUUAUGCCAUUUAAUUCAUUUAAUUAAUUAAUUCUUACUUUAUAUUGAUCAUUCCAUAUUUGAUCAUUCUCUUGAAUUCCUAUGUAUUAAAUUAGUCCCACAUAUAUAAUACACAUGCAGUAAAAAUAGUUUUAAGGGUUAGGGUAGAAAUAAUGGGGGUUACAAACAACCUGAAGUCAUACAAGUCAAAGUAAAAUUAUAACGAUUUAACAUGAAUUUCUAAUCUGAUUUUUGGGAGGGGUUCCUAAGGCACAUAGGCAGCAGCGGCAGGUUUUGGGUAGAACCAUAAUGGC
Molecule: long non-coding RNA, 573 nt
Filed under: Drosophila guanche
Lineage: Eukaryota; Metazoa; Arthropoda; Insecta; Diptera; Drosophilidae
Source: RNAcentral